This 559-nucleotide ribosomal RNA is filed under the name uncultured Eurotiomycetes. RNAcentral describes it as "bacterial SSU rRNA". It matches the Rfam family "Eukaryotic small subunit ribosomal RNA", at positions 197 to 755 of the family's 1831-position model. Lineage: Eukaryota; Fungi; Ascomycota; Eurotiomycetes. The record is from RNAcentral.
AGGGGUGUAUUUAUUAGAUCAAAGCCAAUCGGGCCUUCGGGUUCGUUUUGUUGGUGACUCUGAAUAACUUUGCUGAUCGCACGGUCUCGCACCGGCGACGUAUCUUUCAAGUGUCUGCCUUAUCAACUGUCGAUGGUAGGAUAGUGGCCUACCAUGGUGGCAACGGGUAACGGGGAAUUAGGGUUCGAUUCCGGAGAGGGAGCCUGAGAAACGGCUACCACAUCCAAGGAAGGCAGCAGGCGCGCAAAUUACCCAAUCCCGAUCCGGGGAGGUAGUGACAAUAAAUACUGAUAUAGGGCUCUUUUGGGUCUUAUAAUUGGAAUGAGUACAAUCUAAAUCCCUUAACGAGGAACAAUUGGAGGGCAAGUCUGGUGCCAGCAGCCGCGGUAAUUCCAGCUCCAAUAGCGUAUAUUAAAGUUGUUGCAGUUAAAAAGCUCGUAGUUGAACCUUGGGCCCGUCCUGCCGGUCCGCCUCACCGCGAGUACUGGUCCGGAUGGGCCUUUCUUUCUGGGGAAUCCCAUGGCCUUCACUGGCUGUGGCGGGGAACCAGGACUUUUAC